This 150-nucleotide ribosomal RNA is filed under the name uncultured Mycoplasma sp. Its description in RNAcentral is "partial 16S ribosomal RNA". It matches the Rfam family "Bacterial small subunit ribosomal RNA", at positions 363 to 506 of the family's 1533-position model. The record is from RNAcentral. Lineage: Bacteria; Bacillati; Mycoplasmatota; Mollicutes; Mycoplasmatales; Mycoplasmataceae.
UUUUCACAAUGGACGAAAGUCUGAUGGAGCAAUACCACGUGAACGAUGAAGGUCUUCUGAUUGUAAAGUUCUUUUAUUUAGGAAAAAAAGCGCGCUAGGAAAUGAGCGCGCCUUGAUGGUACUAAUUGAAUAAGUGACAGCUAACUAUGU